This 484-nucleotide ribosomal RNA is filed under the name uncultured bacterium. Its description in RNAcentral is "partial 16S ribosomal RNA". It matches the Rfam family "Bacterial small subunit ribosomal RNA", at positions 30 to 507 of the family's 1533-position model. The record is from RNAcentral.
AUUGAACGCUGGCGGCAGGCCUAACACAUGCAAGUCGAGCGGAUGAAGGGAGCUUGCUCCUGGAUUCAGCGGCGGACGGGUGAGUAAUGCCUAGGAAUCUGCCUGGUAGUGGGGGAUAACGUCCGGAAACGGGCGCUAAUACCGCAUACGUCCUGAGGGAGAAAGUGGGGGAUCUUCGGACCUCACGCUAUCAGAUGAGCCUAGGUCGGAUUAGCUAGUUGGUGGGGUAAAGGCCUACCAAGGCGACGAUCCGUAACUGGUCUGAGAGGAUGAUCAGUCACACUGGAACUGAGACACGGUCCGGACUCCUACGGGAGGCAGCGGUGGGGAAUAUUGGACAAAGGGCGAAAGCCUGAUCCAGCCAUGCCGCGUGUGUGAAGAAGGUCUUCGGAUUGUAAAGCAGUUUAAGUUGGGAGGAAGGGCAGUAAGUUAAUACCUUGCUGUUUUGACGUUACCAACAGAAUAAGCACCGGCUAACUUCGUG